This 274-nucleotide ribosomal RNA is filed under the name uncultured bacterium. Its description in RNAcentral is "partial 16S ribosomal RNA". It matches the Rfam family "Bacterial small subunit ribosomal RNA", at positions 523 to 796 of the family's 1533-position model. The record is from RNAcentral.
AUACGGAGGGAGCAAGCGUUAUUCGGAAUCACUGGGCGUAAAGGACGCGUAGGCGGGUUUGUAAGUCAGGUGUGAAAUCCUACAGCUCAACUGUAGAACUGCACUUGAAACUACAGACCUAGAGUAUGGAAGGGGCAGAUGGAAUUAGUGGUGUAGGGGUAAAAUCCGUAGAUAUCACUAGGAAUACCGAGAGCGAAGGCGAUCUGCUGGGACAUUACUGACGCUGAGGCGUGAAAGCGUGGGGAGCAAACAGGAUUAGAAACCCUAGUAGUCC